Molecule: ribosomal RNA, 324 nt
Filed under: uncultured eukaryote
Lineage: Eukaryota
Description: partial 18S ribosomal RNA
Rfam family: Eukaryotic small subunit ribosomal RNA
Source: RNAcentral
CCCUUAGAUGUUCUGGGCUGCACGCGCGCUACACUGAAGCUAUCAACACGUUUUCCCUCCCUGAGAAGGGCGGGUAACCUUCUGAAUCAGCUUCGUGGUAGGGAUCGGGGCUUGCAAUUGUUCCCCGUGAACCAGGAAUUCCUAGUAGACGCGAGUCAUAAGCUCGCAUCGAUUAAGUCCCUGCCCUUUGUACACACCGCCCGUCGCUACUACCGAUUGAACGUUUUAGUGAGGCAUUUGGACCGACGCAUCUCAGUUUAACCGCUGGUUUGUGUUGGAAAGACUUCCAAACUUGAGCGUCUAGAGGAAGUAAAAGUCGUAACA